UGGGGAAUCUUGCGCAAUGGGCGAAAGCCUGACGCAGCCAUGCCGCGUGAAUGAUGAAGGUCUUAGGAUUGUAAAAUUCUUUCACCGGGGACGAUAAUGACGGUACCCGGAGAAGAAGCCCCGGCUAACUUCGUGCCAGCAGCCGCGGUAAUACGAAGGGGGCUAGCGUUGCUCGGAAUUACUGGGCGUAAAGGGAGCGUAGGCGGACAUUUAAGUCAGGGGUGAAAUCCCGGGGCUCAACCUCGGAAUUGCCUUUGAUACUGGGUGUCUUGAGUAUGAGAGAGGUGGGUGGAACUCCGAGUGUAGAAGUGAAAUUCGUAGAUAUUCGGAAGAACACCAGUGGCGAAGGCGACACACUGGCUCAUUACUGACGCUGAGGCUCGAAAGCGUGGGGAGCAAACAGG
Molecule: ribosomal RNA, 404 nt
Filed under: Actinomycetes bacterium
Lineage: Bacteria; Bacillati; Actinomycetota; Actinomycetes
Description: Actinobacteria bacterium partial 16S ribosomal RNA
Rfam family: Bacterial small subunit ribosomal RNA
Source: RNAcentral